GGGUCAGUAGGCUGGUCGUGCCACCGGUACGUACUGGUCUCACUGAUUCCUCCUUCCUGAAGAACCGUAAUGCCAUUAAUUUGGUGUCGUGGGGAAACAGGACUGUUACUUUGAAAAAAUUAGAGUGUUUAAAGCAAGCUAACGCUUGAAUACAUUAGCAUGGAAUAAUGAAAUAGGACGAUCGAUCCUAUUUCGUUGGUUUCUAGGAUUGACGUA
This 216-nucleotide ribosomal RNA is filed under the name Glomeromycotina sp. Its description in RNAcentral is "partial small subunit ribosomal RNA". The stretch from base 40 to 216 matches the Rfam family "Eukaryotic small subunit ribosomal RNA", at positions 686 to 864 of the family's 1831-position model. The record is from RNAcentral. Lineage: Eukaryota; Fungi; Glomeromycota.